AUUGAACGCUGGCGGCAUGCUUUACACAUGCAAGUCGAACGGGCUGGGGGCAACUCCAGUCAGUGGCGAACGGGUGAGUAAUGCAUCGGAACGUGCCUCGUAGUGGGGGAUAACUCGGCGAAAGCCGUGCUAAUACCGCAUAUGCUCUACGGAGGAAAGUGGGGGACCGCAAGGCCUCACGCUAUGAGAGCGGCCGAUGUCCGAUUAGCUUGUUGGUGGGUAAGGCCUACCAAGGCGAAGACGCUUAGCUGGUCUGAGAGGAUGAUCAGUCACACUGAAACUGAGACACGGUUCAGACUCCUACGGGAGGCAGCAGUGGGGAAUAUUGGACAAUGGGCGCAAGCCUGAUCCAGCCACGCCGCGUGAGUGAUGAAGGCCU
This 379-nucleotide ribosomal RNA is filed under the name uncultured bacterium. Its description in RNAcentral is "bacterial SSU rRNA". It matches the Rfam family "Bacterial small subunit ribosomal RNA", at positions 30 to 417 of the family's 1533-position model. The record is from RNAcentral.